RNAcentral lists this ribosomal RNA (497 nucleotides) under uncultured bacterium. RNAcentral's name for it is "partial 16S ribosomal RNA". It matches the Rfam family "Bacterial small subunit ribosomal RNA", at positions 28 to 507 of the family's 1533-position model. The record is from RNAcentral.
GAUGAACGCUGGCGGCGUGCUUAAUACAUGCAAGUCGAGCGGACGGACGAGAAUCUUGCUGCUCUCAUGUUAGUGACGCGCGAGUGAGUAACCCGUGGAUAACCAACAUAUAAGACUGGGGUUACUUAGAGAACCCGUAGCUAGUACCGGAUAAUGUAUUCCACCGCAUGGUUCAAUUGUGACAGACGGUCUUGCUGUUACUUUUAUAUGGUUCCGAGCUGCUUUAGCUGGUUGGUACGGUGACGGCUUACCAAUGCAAUGAUGCAUAGCCGACCUGCGAGAUGGAUCGGCCACACUGGAACUGAGUGACGGUCCAGACUCCGACGGGGGGCCGCAGUAGGCAAUCUUGCGCAAAGGGCGAGAGCCUGACGGAGCAACGCCGCGUGGGUGAUGAGGGUCUUCGGGUCGUGAAACUGUGGUAUUAGGGAUGAACAUAUGUGUAAGUAGCAGUGGACAUCAUGACGGUACCUGAGCAGAAAGCCACGGCUAACUACGUG